This is a small nucleolar RNA of Hyla sarda, 161 nucleotides long. NCBI's taxonomy places the organism in Eukaryota, Metazoa, Chordata, Amphibia, Anura, Hylidae. The record is from RefSeq and is a predicted model, not a curated record.
UUUGCACACAGUUAGAGCUUGGAGAUGAGGCCAUACAUUGGCCAAUGAACUCUGAGUGUAGGACGUGUGCUACAUAAACACCGGCAGGUUUUUUUUAUGGAAUCCAUAUGGAGCUUUAUGGCUCUGAUGACUGGAGUCCUGUAGUAAUUCUUGCCACAUCU